RNAcentral lists this ribosomal RNA (668 nucleotides) under Pluteus cervinus. RNAcentral's name for it is "eukaryotic LSU rRNA". It matches the Rfam family "Eukaryotic large subunit ribosomal RNA", at positions 1 to 653 of the family's 3401-position model. Lineage: Eukaryota; Fungi; Basidiomycota; Agaricomycetes; Agaricales; Pluteaceae. The record is from RNAcentral.
UUGACCUCAAAUCAGGUAGGACUACCCGCUGAACUUAAGCAUAUCAAUAAGCGGAGGAAAAGAAACUAACAAGGAUUCCCCUAGUAACUGCGAGUGAAGCGGGAAAAGCUCAAAUUUAAAAUCUGGCGGUCUCUGGCUGUCCGAGUUGUAAACUAGAGAAGUGUUAUCCGUGCUGGACCAUGUAAAAGUCUCCUGGAACGGAGCGUCAUAGAGGGUGAGAAUCCCGUCUUUGACAUGGACUACCAGUGCAUUGUGAUAUGCUCUCAAAGAGUCGAGUUGUUUGGGAAUGCAGCUCAAAAUGGGUGGUAAAUUCCAUCUAAAGCUAAAUAUUGGCGAGAGACCGAUAGCGAACAAGUACCGUGAGGGAAAGAUGAAAAGAACUUUGGAAAGAGAGUUAAACAGUACGUGAAAUUGUUGAAAGGGAAACGCUUGAAGUCAGUCACAUUGGCUGGAGAUCAACCUUGCUUUUGGAAGGUGUACUCUCUGGUUGAUGGGUCAGCAUCAAUUUUGACCAUUGGAAAAAGGUUAGGGGAAUGUGGCAUCCUUGGAUGUGUUAUAGCCCUUGAUUGUAUACAGUGGUUGGGAUUGAGGAACUCAGCACGCCGCAAGGCCGGGUUUUACCACGUUCGUGCUUAGGAUGCUGGCAUAAUGGCUUUAAUCGACCCGUC